Molecule: long non-coding RNA, 3964 nt
Organism: Nerophis ophidion (straightnose pipefish)
Lineage: Eukaryota; Metazoa; Chordata; Actinopteri; Syngnathiformes; Syngnathidae
Exons: 3
Source: RefSeq, a predicted model, not a curated record
ACUUGUGCACUUGUGUUAGUGGAUCAGAUUUUAGGCUGCUAUUAUUAACCUAUUAACCAUUUGUGACGAACGGUUUUUUUUGUUUUUUUUUUCUGUCGACUGGUGUGACCUGACAGUAUCGUGCGUGGAAACACACACCACUGUUUUGACGAUUAAACGAGAGUGGGCGUGCAGGUACAGAGUGUCCUGCACAAUGCAAAGUCAGCAUGCCAGUUGUAAACAAAACACGCACACACAGAUCCGCCAUGAUGAGACAAACACCUCGACGACUUUACACACUUGGUAUGAACUCACUGAUUAUACCGCAACACAACGUACCUUUUUAUUUCCGUCUUUUUAAAGGAGAUCCGUCGACGUUGUAUUCCAGGCUGAGGUGUCCAGAAAUGGUACCACUACGUCGUAUAUCCCAAAUGGUAUUGACGAAGACUUGGAAGCAGCGUCUUCUCCCCUCGACAGUUUUUCUUUGCUACCCCCACACCCUUUCGACACUAAACAGGAGAGCACACACGCAGGAACACACGUGCCCGUGCAUGGACUCUGCGUGGGCUCGCCUCUCAUUGGCGGAGGAAACGCCCCAAGCCGCGCCCACAUCAGCCACCAAGCCGGUUCUAUUGGACGAGGGGCGGGGGGCGGAGCUUGCAGCACGGGGCUCUGGUCACGUUGCGGGCUGCCUGCUCCUGUGUUCUUUGCUAAACAUUGAGGACACGUGAAAAGGCGGGACAGCACUUCCCCGAUGCGCCGUAGUGCCUUAAACGGGACGCAAUGCAACUUUAAACAACUACCAACAAGCACGUUUACUUCGAACACAGCCAUACUGACAUAUUUUCUAGUUUUAAUAACGCUGUCACGUGACUUUACUCACGCGUUCACACGUUUCUGGAGGAAACACAUCCAACAGGCAGUUUCUGCUGCGCGUCUAGUGGCAGCUUUACGGCGAGUGCGAGCACAUUUCAACGUGUUUCCAGGGCGCUGACGUCAUCUGUCCUGCUCGCCCUGUCCAGAGUCACAUGGCAAACGGUGUGGUCCUCCUGUGGCGGUAAACAGAGCAGAUGUAGGGCAGUUCAGGCCACAUGCCAUCGAGUUAAUAGGCGACAUGCCAUCGAGUUAAUAGGCGACCGAUGUGCUACUAAACUACAACUAGCACGUUGUAGUUGCUUGCUGUCGACGUCAUGUUCUCUUAUUUUGGAACUUUGAAGACACGCACUGCGUGAAAGAAGGAACGAGCUGCACACAACCAUUUUCAAGAGUCGCUGUGAUUUCGUUUGCACAUUAAUACCAGUAGGGGACAUUUCACCUCACAUCAAUUGCAUCCACACCAAUGUGUUUCUGUCCCAUAAGCAGAGUUCUGCUCACAGGAGCAUAUUUAGUUGUUUUGAUUAGUCAGCUACUAAUGCGGCGUUUAUGUAGCAAGUGCUACAUACUUACCUACAUGUACACUUGGCUAAUUUAUACUAUAUCUAUACCUAAGUAUGAUUACUUUUACAUAUAUAUUGGUAUAUGUAUACACAGUAUAUUUGAAGAGUAUUCCUACUUAAAGGCCUACUGAAACCCACUUCUACCGACCACGCAGUCUGAUAGUUUAUAUAUCAAUGAUGAAAUAUUAACAUUGCAACACAUGCCAAUACGGCCUUUUUAGUUUACUAAACUACAAUUUUAAAUUUCCCGGGAGUUUCGUCUUCGAAACGUCGUGUAAUGAUGACCUUUACGCAAGAUGUCACAGGUUUUUAGGAAGUAUGAGCGCUGCGCACACACACAGCUAAAAGUCGUCUGCUUUAACGGCAUAAUUAUACAGUAUUUUGGACAUCUGUGUUGCUGAAUCUUUUGCAAUUUGUUCAAUUAAUAUUGGAGAAGUCACAGUAGAAAGAUGGAGUUGGGAAGCUUUAGCCUUUAGCCACACAAACACGCGGUGAUUCCUUGUUUAAAAUUCCUGGAGGUGAAACUUUCCUAUGGAUCAGAGCGCAGUCAAGCCAACAUGGAUCCCGACCACAUGUCAACCAGCAGGUUUCGCUGCCGUCAACUCCCCUGAGACACUGCGCGUCAAGACACCCGUGGAGACACCCUUCCGACUAUCAGGUGCACUCGGGAGGGGGGAAGGGUACCCCUUGGACAAGUCGCCAACUCAUCGCAAACAAGGAAGAAAUGUGUGGUGAAAAUAUUUUUCUAGCAGGACAUUUGAGUGAGGAAAAAGGAAACAUUGAAAUCCAAGAUCGAGAUGCAAAAGAUAGAGGUGGGAUUUUGGAGGAAGAUAUGGAAACGGACUGGACUAGAGUAGAGAGUGAAAGAAAAGGUAGGGGAAGUAAGGAGAGAAGAACAAAUUUCAAAAUAGCUUACAAGGAAAAUAUGGAAGGAGAUGCCAGGAAGAAGACUAUGAGGGACGAGUACAGUCAACCUAAAGUUUGAAGAUGAAGUAGAUUUUUCGGCAAUUAGUGCACUGACACCAACUGAGUGAAGAAGAAAAUAGGAGAUGAUGAAAUGGUGAAAGUGAUAAAAUAUGGAAAUCUCCUGUAAUUUUUUUUUAAAAAAAGCAAUGCUUCUAAAAACAUUUUCUAGGAGGGAAUGAUAGAAAGCAAAAUUGUGGGUGAAUGGAGAGAAACAGGAGAAGGUGUGGCGACUGGAAUCCCUGUAAAACCGAAGUGAACCAAAAUGUUGGUAAGUUUUAGCUCUUCUUCCUGCGAGGCCGGCGCUGCCACCAGUUCAGCCUCCAGUGGAGCCGCUACCACCUUCAGCUCCACCUCCUGUUUAGCAUCCAGUGGGUCUGCUGCUGACGCCACCUUCAGUUCAGCAGCCAGCUCGCCUGCCACAGAAGCGCCCAUCUGGUGUUCGCCCUCCUCACCUGCUGCAAGACCGCCCUCCUGACGCCUGCAGUUUUCCUCCUCGCCUGCCGCAGCAAUGGCUGUUCCUUGGAUGCUCCCGCGCCAUCAGCAGCAACGCCCAGGACCUUGGCGGGGAUCUCCGCAGCUGCUGGGGAUAGGUUCACACUGUGGUCAUUCCAGGGACGCCUGGGUCGCCGGCUGUGGAAGUGUUCUACUUGCCGCCACCACCCGACUCUUCCCCACUGGCUUCAACGACACAUGGCCAGGCGACCCGUCGCCAAGUCCUCGCUCCACUUUACCUUGACUUUGAACAUGUUCUUUUUGAGUUCCUGGGACAUCUGGAAUCCAUCCCUUCAGGAGGAGGGCCUAGGGGGGUACUGUAAUGACCUCUGAGCUCUAGGUCAUGUCUUGUUUAGUUUUGUGUGUACCUCCUGUGUUUUGUGUUCUUAUUUUAUUCCCACUUCCUGUCCUUGGUCGCGCGCAGUAUGUCAAGCUUGCCCCUGACAGUUUGUCUAUGUUUUAGUUUUGUCCUCUGCAUUUGUCUGUUUCCUGUGUUUAAUAUUUCCUGUCUUUUAGUUCCUGUCAAGUGCUCUUAAUUUGCCAGCUUCCUGUCUUGUUCCCUGAGUGCUGUGUUCCUCCUCAGUGUGUUUAGUAUUUCCUGUCCUCAGGUCCUGUCUAGUGCUCUUAUUUUGUCAGCUUCCUGUGUUGUUCCCCGAGUGCUGUGUUCCCCUUCAGCUGAUUGCCAAUCAGCCGGCUCCUAUUUGUACCUCCUUUGUCUUGUGUCAGUUGCUGGAUCAUUGUAUUGUCAUUUGUAUUGUCGUUGCCUCAUGUCACUCUUGUGUCUUUGCUACCUGUCGUGUCUGGCAUCAUUUCAGCUACUACCUGUCGUGCUACAUCUUGUCCUGGUCGUCGUAGCGGUAAGCUGUUUUUGUUAGCCAUUAGCUAUUUCCAGUUUUUCUGUUUGUUAUCCUCUAGCUUCCAUGCUAAAGUUCCUUUUUGUUUCUUAUUACCUUCUAAGCUUAAGGCAUUUGGUUUAUUAUCCGCCCACGUGCGUGCUUUUGGUUUGAACCCUUUGUUUGAUUUUGUCUUAGUAUCUUUAUUAAAUCAUGUUUGCUCACUCCAUUCCUGCCUCCAUCUCUGCAUCAUGGGGU